RNAcentral lists this long non-coding RNA (796 nucleotides) under Homo sapiens (human). Its description in RNAcentral is "HSALNT0357192". The record is from RNAcentral. Lineage: Eukaryota; Metazoa; Chordata; Mammalia; Primates; Hominidae.
CACAGCCCGGCCCGAGUCGCGGGGCCCGAGCGACAGCGACGGCGCCGGCCGGGGCCGCGGCGCGCGGAAGCCACUUUGCACGGUCAGCGCCGGGCACAAGUUUGUUCCGCGGCUCCCGGGGGCCUGGGCGCUGAGGGAGAAUCGCGCUGAGGGGGCCAGGAGGAGGGGGAGAGGGAGGCGCCGAAGGGCACAAGAGUGGGGAAAAGUGCGGAAAGAAGCAACAGCCGCUCCACCCGGGACCAGAAAAGUGGCCAGUGCGUCCCGGCCGCCCGCCCUGCGCCGGGGAUGCGGCGGCGUCGGCGCCGGCUAACGGUCCAGGGAGGCGGCAGGGGCGGCGGGAGCCGCUAGGCGGAGAGAGACCAGGGCCUACUGCAGUGCAUGAAGGUGGUAUGGACUCAGAACUCUGAAGUCUGAGGAGACAAAUACAUGCCCACCAUAACAACAUCACACAAUACCUAGAGUCAAAACAGUUAUCCCUAUUCCUACCCCCAACUGAGUUAUUCAAUAAAGCCUGCCUUGUUGAAUCUGUUUUCCCAUGUAUAGUUUAUAUAGUUACAUAACAAUUAGUUUUUUCCAUAUACUUAGGAUAACUACAUGUAAUUUAGUAUUCUGCUGUUUUCACUUACAUAUCACAUACAUUUUCCUGAUACAGGUACAUAGUCUUUAUAUUUGUCAUUUUUCACUUGACUGCUAUGUUUCUCAAAUUGAUAUACUGUCAUUUCCUAAGCCAGUUAUAUAUUGUUGAACAUUUAAAUUACUCCCUUUUUUGGUUUGUAAAUAAACAUUGUUAUGAAAU